This 465-nucleotide ribosomal RNA is filed under the name uncultured bacterium. Its description in RNAcentral is "SSU rRNA". It matches the Rfam family "Bacterial small subunit ribosomal RNA", at positions 26 to 518 of the family's 1533-position model. The record is from RNAcentral.
AGGACGAACGCUGGCGGCGUGCUUAACACAUGCAAGUCGAACGAGGUGCUUGCACCUAGUGGCGAACGGGUGAGUAACACGUGAGCAACCUGCCCUUGGCUCUGGGAUAGCCUCCGGAAACGGGGAUUAAUACCGGACAUGACCUUCUUCCGCAUGGUUGAAGGUGGAAAGUUUUUCGGCCAGGGAGGGGCUCGCGGCCUAUCAGCUUGUUGGAGGGGUAACGGCCCACCAAGGCGACGACGGGGUAGCCGGCCUGAGAGGGCGACCGGCCACACUGGGACUGAGACACGGCCCAGACUCCUACGGGAGGCAGCAGUGGGGAAUAUUGCGCAAUGGGGGAAACCCUGACGCAGCGACGCCGCGUGCGGGAUGAAGGCCUUCGGGUUGUAAACCGCUUUCACCAGGACGAGCGAGAGUGACGGUACCUGGGGAAGAAGCGCCGGCUAACUACGUGCCAGCAGCCGC